Molecule: non-coding RNA, 36 nt
Filed under: unclassified sequences
Description: DUF805b RNA
Rfam family: DUF805b RNA
About the family: Bacteroidetes, Chlorobi (1 example), Proteobacteria.
Source: RNAcentral
CAGGACGUAGCCGAAAAUCCUUUCAAAGAGUAGGCA